RNAcentral lists this ribosomal RNA (433 nucleotides) under uncultured bacterium. Its description in RNAcentral is "partial 16S ribosomal RNA". It matches the Rfam family "Bacterial small subunit ribosomal RNA", at positions 29 to 507 of the family's 1533-position model. The record is from RNAcentral.
AACGAACGCUGGCGGCAUGCCUAACACAUGCAAGUCGAACGAGACCUUCGGGUCUAGUGGCGCACGGGUGCGUAACGCGUGGGAACCUGCCCUUAGGUUCGGAAUAACUCCCCGAAAGGGGUGCUAAUACCGGAUAAUGUCUUCGGAUCAAAGAUUUAUCGCCUUUGGAUGGGCCCGCGUUGGAUUAGCUAGUUGGUAGGGUAAAAGCCUACCAAGGCGACGAUCCAUAGCUGGUCUGAGAGGAUGAUCAGCCGCACUGGGACUGAGACACGGCCCAGACUCCUACGGGAGGCAGCAGUGGGGAAUAUUGGACAAUGGGCGAAAGCCUGAUCCAGCAAUGCCGCGUGAGUGAUGAAGGCCUUAGGGUUGUAAAGCUCUUUUACCCGGGAUGAUAAUGACAGUACCGGGAGAAUAAGCUCCGGCUAACUCCGUG